Long non-coding RNA from Zonotrichia albicollis (white-throated sparrow), 1758 nucleotides. NCBI's taxonomy places the organism in Eukaryota, Metazoa, Chordata, Aves, Passeriformes, Passerellidae. The record is from Ensembl.
GCACUUUCACACUUUCCCCUCAGCCCCUGGAUCGCUCCAUGCCUUCACACGCCGCUUUCUGAACUGAAAAAAAAAAAAAGAAAGAAAAAAAAAGAAAAAAAAGGAAAAAAAAGAGAGAAAAAAAAUCAAAAGUGUGGGUUUCCAUGGAGACAAGAGUGCUGCUCUAAAAUCUGAGGGCAGGCAAGCUCUGGAUUUGGUGUUUUGAUGCAGAUGCUUGGGUUCAACUUUAGAGGAAGAGGUUGGCUCAGACUGGAGCUGUUUGGAGGGGCUGGUUUUUGGUGGGUGGUGUUCCAUAGGAUUUGGGAAAUUCCAUUGAAAAGGGGGAAGAAAACCCUCUUCAGUCCUUUAAUGGGGAAAAGGACCCACAAACAAUAGGAAUGAUGGAGUCAUCUGCAGCACAUCCUCAAGGUGUCCACAAUGGAAGGUCCAACCUCCACCUGGUGCCAGCAGGGAGAAGAUGUGUCCUCUCCUGGUCCUGAAGCACUGGAGAAAGCAUGGAUGGCUUGACACAGGGCCUUGGACACUUCCAGGGAUGGAGCAUCCACAGCUUCAAUGACACAACAACUAAAGGUGGGAGGCAGCCUGGACACAUCCCCAAAAGCAGGACCAGGAGUGUCGCUGUCCCACGGAGACCUGUGAACUGCCUCCUGACACUAAGGAAAUGGAAGAAGACACAGCCCCUGCCAUUAAUGGGCAUUGCUCGUUAUCAACCAAUAACUGAUGGAUUUGUCAAUAUCUGGGAUUGGCUGAGCACAAAGGGAAGGGCUGAGAAGGGCCCCCAGUGGUGCCUCUGCCUCUCUCAGCGCUGUGUGCAGGGCAGUGCCUGAUAAUUUAUUUAUCCUAAUCUGGCAGAGCCAGAAGGACAUGGAGGAGAAGGGGGAGCCUGGGUGGGUCAUUUUCAUUUUUAUGUCUCCAUUAAUGUCCACUAAUGCAGCAUCACUUUUAAGUACUCAUUCCUUCUCCUCACUGCACAAAUGCCUGCCCAUUUCUCCUGCUGCAGACACAAACCCGGGCUUGGGAUCGGCUCCAAGCAGUGAAAGUCUUUAACUACCCUUAAUUAAAGGGCAUUUGGGCAGCAAGGGCUGAUGAGAGGUGACAGCAGGAGUGUGUCCCUCCAUGUCAGGCUGUGACCUGUGAUGCUGCUGGGAGGGGCAGGUUGGUACCACUGGGGUUGACACAGGGAGGUUUCCUCAAUCUCUGGACACCCUUUAAUUGUGGUGAUGGGCACAUGGACACAGAGCAGAUUUGUAGGGUUUUGUCUUUGGUUAGCAGGGAAAAACAAUCUCCAUUUUCAGCUCUGAGCAAGUCCUGGGCACACGUCCAACCCCAAAUCCCAGCACCUGCAUCCUGGACAAGAAGUUUUUGGACAUGAAGCAUCACUUUUGGUGUGACAGUUAUGUUUUUAUUUGAAUGCAACAUUAGCUUUGAUAAAUAUAUCACAACAACAGCUGGAGCUGAGGGUUUCCUUUGUGCCCAUGGAUACUUGCAUUACAUGAAGCCUUUUCUCUCCAGACCUUAGAUAUUCUGUCCUCAAGAUGUGACAUUCCACCUCAAUCUUUGGUGACAGAGGAAGGGUUUCUUUUUCUCGCCAUCUUUUUUGUUCCUAAUUCCUCAGUUUUCUCUCCUGCAGCACUCAUGGAAUUACCCUUAUGGAGACAAAUCUGUGCUGCCCACAUAAGGCUCCUAGAGCACUCAGAAAUGCUCUUUCUCUGUGGCUGCAGCAAUAAAUGUUAUUAUAUAGAAAUGUGGUGUUAUCCC